Long non-coding RNA from Vitis vinifera (wine grape), 619 nucleotides. RefSeq lists it as uncharacterized. The transcript has 2 exons. Lineage: Eukaryota; Viridiplantae; Streptophyta; Magnoliopsida; Vitales; Vitaceae. The record is from RefSeq and is a predicted model, not a curated record.
AAAAUAUUAGAAUUCCUUACCUCGAUUCCAUCCACUAGUGAACGAGACCUCUGCUGCCCACCGCCUCUCCUUCAACCCCUGCCUAUCCUCCACACCAUCUUCCCCACCAUCUUCUCUACAUCCCUUAACUGCAGUCUCCAACACGAAGGGAAUGGAGAAAGGAUCUUCCCCAACCAAAAGAUGAAGCUUUUCAGCUGAACCUCCCUCCCAGCUUGGAUUUUUGUUCAUGGUGAAGAGGUCUGGAGCCAAUAGUCAUUGAGCAUCCAAGGACCCUCCAAACUCCCUUGUAAUUUUGGUUCAAGCCAUCCAAAAAUGGCUUCUUCCAGCACCCAUAGAGCCUCUUCUUCGACUACUUCUAUUUCUCGUAAUUAUGAUGUGUUCUUGAGUUUUAGAGGUGGCGAUACUCGCAGAAAUUUCACUGAUCAUCUAUAUACCACAUUGACUGCAUCUGGAAUUCAAACUUUCAGAGAUGAUGAAGAACUUGAGAAAGGGGGAGAUAUUGCAUCUGAUCUCUUGAGAGCUAUAGAAGAAUCGAGGUUUUUUAUUGUUAUUUUCUCAAAAAAUUAUGCUUACUCCAGAUGGUGUUUAAAUGAACUCGUAAAGAUCAUUGAACGCAAGA